CACAAAACUGAUUUUUUUUGGCUCCUUUAUUUUUCACCACGCUUGAUCGAGUUGGCUACUUUUUUACCGCUGUCACUUUCGAUGCUACUCGAUGUUACUCGAUACUACUCGAUACUGAACUGUCAAAAUUGCCACGCUAAAGUCGUCGAGCUAAACUUCCGCUGUCUAUUCGUUCUUUCGUUCUCAAACCGUCGUCAAGACUAGAAGGAAAAUGAGAGCUAAGUGGCGUAAGAAGCGUAUGCGUAGGUUGAAGCGUAAGCGCAGGAAGAUGCGUGCACGUUCCAAGUAAGCUGUGCCCAGCCAUCGACCGCUAAUGGAACUUUUUGACACUACAACAACACCAAGUCCGUAAAGAGCAUGCCGUUUUAAGCCAAAUCACGAAUUUUCGCCCUCUACUUUUGACAUGAGAGAAAGGGACGCGAAAGGGCGGGAUCUGGCCCACGUAAUUUUCCACACAAAAAAAAUACACGAAGAAAUCUGCAUUUAAAAACGCAAAAUUUCUUGUUGAAGUUUUCUUCUAAAUAAAUUACUGGAGUUUCUUAACAAAAUGUUCCCCAUGAAAAAAAAAACUUAA
Long non-coding RNA from Drosophila willistoni, 574 nucleotides. RefSeq lists it as uncharacterized. Lineage: Eukaryota; Metazoa; Arthropoda; Insecta; Diptera; Drosophilidae. The transcript has 4 exons. The record is from RefSeq and is a predicted model, not a curated record.